This 407-nucleotide ribosomal RNA is filed under the name uncultured bacterium. Its description in RNAcentral is "partial 16S ribosomal RNA". It matches the Rfam family "Bacterial small subunit ribosomal RNA", at positions 30 to 526 of the family's 1533-position model. The record is from RNAcentral.
AUUGAACGCUGGCGGCAGGCCUAACACAUGCAAGUCGAGCGGCGCGGCGGCCGGGUGCGUAAUGCCUAGGAAUCUGCCUGUUACUGGUGGAUAACGUCCGGAAACGGGCGCUAAUACCGCAUACUUUCAGUUUAGCCUAGGUCGGAUUAGCUAGUUGGUGGGGUAAAGGCCUACCAAGGCGAAGAUCCGUAACUGGUCUGAGAGGAUGAUCGGUCACACUGGAACUGAGACACGGUACAGACUCCUACGGGAGGCAGCAGUGGGGAAUAUUGGACAAUGGGCGAAAGCCUGAUCCAGCCAUGCCGCGUGUGUGAAGAAGGUCUUCGGAUUGUAAAGCACUUUAAGUUGGGAGGCGUUACCAACAGAAUAAGCACCGGCUAACUUCGUGCCAGCAGCCGCGGUAAUUC